GUGAGAUUAUAAUGCUUCUCAAGGUGUUCCCUUCCUCAUAAUGAAGCUCCAUCUGUUCUACAGAUGGAGCAGAGGAGCAUGCUACAGAGCACAGGGACUCAGCUACUGCCCCAGCCAGCCCAGGAGAUGGUGGCUGCCUUUGCAUGAAGAGCAUUUCACAGAUUUUGGCUAGGACUGAGCCAGAGGAAGAGCUUUCUGACUGAUUUUUUCAGGAAAACUCUGUGCCCUUGAAAUCACCAGCUGUAUUUUUUAUCCCAUCAUCUCUCAGCUACUAGCCCCAGCUUUGCCCCUGAUAGACAAAUUUCUACACUUUUCUUCUACGUCUUGCUGUCACGUUUUUGCUUCCAGGGCAAAGAGAAAUCUGUUGCAGCAAGGACUUAUGCUUUGAGGCACAACAAGAAUUCAAGAGGUCAGGUCCCAAAGGAUGGGAAAUGAAUUUAUAGGUCUUUGCUGCACAUUUCUGGGUCUUUUUCUUCAGAUAUCUGCAUGAGCUUUUGAGCCUAUGAAGUACUCAGUGGGGGUGAGCUCCUGUGUACACUGCCAGCCUCUGAAUGUUGGCCUCCACUGGUAUAAACUGACUGAGCAUCAGAAACCAAAGCACAGAAAAUGGAGCCACCUUUGAUGAUCUUCCUCUCCAUGCAUAAUCAAAAUAAUUAGAUUCACUUAACUAAACAAGUUUUAGUUCUACAACAGGAUAAGCACACUGAAUCUUUAGACAAUCCUCUAAGGCCGCUGGCAAUGGACUAACUCCAUUUAUGUGGUUUAACAUUUGCCUAACAGAAAGUACUGCUACUUUUCUCUUCUUGACAGGUAGAUAAUCCUAAGAGGUCUGACAACCGUAUUAACAUCCAAACCACAAACGAUGGGUAAUAUGAAAAGCUGGAUUUUCUGACAUACACCCUUUACAUCUGCUUUCUACAUCAGAGCCAGAAUUAGUUCUACUGUUGUGUUUGUAUUAAAUAUGUGGAUUAAUGGAGCUCAGCGAGAGUGCUGAAUAAGCUCUUCCCAUCUCCUGUGGCUUUGGACUGCAUCUUUCCAUGCAGAGACAAAUGUGUAGCUUGAUACAUUCUGUGUUUUGCACUUGGAAAAACUGUGGCUUGGUGCUAAAUCAAGUUCAGAAGAAGAUAUUCCAAACUUCUAUUAGAACUAAACAAAUUCGAGCUGGG
This 1166-nucleotide long non-coding RNA is filed under the name Phasianus colchicus (ring-necked pheasant). RNAcentral describes it as "lncRNA (ENSPCLG00000018127.1)". Lineage: Eukaryota; Metazoa; Chordata; Aves; Galliformes; Phasianidae. The record is from RNAcentral.